This 510-nucleotide ribosomal RNA is filed under the name uncultured Glomeraceae. RNAcentral describes it as "SSU rRNA". It matches the Rfam family "Eukaryotic small subunit ribosomal RNA", at positions 569 to 1082 of the family's 1831-position model. The record is from RNAcentral. Lineage: Eukaryota; Fungi; Glomeromycota; Glomeromycetes; Glomerales; Glomeraceae.
AGCAGCCGCGGUAAUUCCAGCUCCAAUAGCGUAUAUUAAAGUUGUUGCAGUUAAAAAGCUCGUAGUUGAAUUUCGAGAUCAGUACGCUGGUCGUGCCUUCGGUAUGUACUGGUGUCACUGGUUUCUCCCUUCUGAAGAACCGUUAUGUCAUUAAGUUGGUGUGGCGGGGAAUCAGGACUGUUACUUUGAAAAAAUUAGAGUGUUUAAAGCAGGCUCGCGCUUGAAUACAUUAGCAUGGAAUAAUGAAAUAGGACGUUUGACCCUAUUUUGUUGGUUUCUUAGGAUCGACGUAAUGAUUAAUAGGGAUAGUUGGGGGCAUUAGUAUUCAAUUGUCAGAGGUGAAAUUCUUGGAUUUAUUGAAGACUAACUACUGCGAAAGCAUUUGCCAAGGAUGUUUUCAUUAAUCAAGAACGAAAGUUAGGGGAUCGAAGACGAUCAGAUACCGUCGUAGUCUUAACCAUAAACUAUGCCGACUAGGGAUCGGAUGAUGUUAAUUUUUUAAUGUACUCA